Xenopus tropicalis (tropical clawed frog) is the source of this 119-nucleotide ribosomal RNA. Lineage: Eukaryota; Metazoa; Chordata; Amphibia; Anura; Pipidae. The record is from Ensembl.
GUCUACGGCCAUACCAUCCUGAAAGUGCCCGAUCUCGUCUGAUCUCGGAAGCUAAACAGGGGAGAGCCUGGUUAGUACCUGGAUGGGAGACCGCCUGGGAAUACCAGGUGUUGCAGGCU